AUUCAGCUGACGCGUGCCAAACAGAACUAAAAGCGCGUCCUGGAU
Non-coding RNA from Schistosoma haematobium, 45 nucleotides. The record is from Rfam. Lineage: Eukaryota; Metazoa; Platyhelminthes; Trematoda; Strigeidida; Schistosomatidae.